This 1440-nucleotide ribosomal RNA is filed under the name uncultured organism. Its description in RNAcentral is "SSU rRNA". It matches the Rfam family "Bacterial small subunit ribosomal RNA". The record is from RNAcentral.
CGCUAGCGAUAGGCUUAACACAUGCAAGUCGAGGGGCAGCAUGAUCUUAGCUUGCUAAGGUUGAUGGCGACCGGCGCACGGGUGCGUAACGCGUAUGCAACUUGCCUUACAGAGGGGGAUAACCCGUUGAAAGACGGACUAAAACCGCAUACACUUGUAUUAUUGCAUGAUAUUACAAGGAAAUAUUUAUAGCUGUAAGAUAGGCAUGCGUCCCAUUAGCUGGUUGGUGAGGUAACGGCUCACCAAGGCGACGAUGGGUAGGGGAACUGAGAGGUUUAUCCCCCACACUGGUACUGAGACACGGACCAGACUCCUACGGGAGGCAGCAGUGAGGAAUAUUGGUCAAUGGGCGAUAGCCUGAACCAGCCAAGUCGCGUGAAGGAAGACAGUCCUAAGGAUUGUAAACUUCUUUUAUACGGGAAUAACGGGCGAUACGAGUAUUGCAUUGAAUGUACCGUAAGAAUAAGCAUCGGCUAACUCCGUGCCAGCAGCCGCGGUAAUACGGAGGAUGCGAGCGUUAUCCGGAUUUAUUGGGUUUAAAGGGUGCGUAGGUUGUUCGGUAAGUCAGCGGUGAAACCUGAGCGCUCAACGUUCAGCCUGCCGUUGAAACUGCCGGGCUUGAGUUCAGUGGCGGCAGGCGGAAUUCGUGGUGUAGCGGUGAAAUGCAUAGAUAUCACGAGGAACUCCGAUUGCGAAGGCAGCUUGCCAUACUGCGACUGACACUGAAGCACGAAGGCGUGGGUAUCAAACAGGAUUAGAUACCCUGGUAGUCCACGCAGUAAACGAUGAUUACUAGGAGUUUGCGAUAUACCGUCAAGCUUCCACAGCGAAAGCGUUAAGUAAUCCACCUGGGGAGUACGCCGGCAACGGUGAAACUCAAAGGAAUUGACGGGGGCCCGCACAAGCGGAGGAACAUGUGGUUUAAUUCGAUGAUACGCGAGGAACCUUACCCGGGAUUGAAAUGUAGAUGACGGAUGGUGAAAACCGUCCUCCCUUCGGGGCUUCUAUGUAGGUGCUGCAUGGUUGUCGUCAGCUCGUGCCGUGAGGUGUCGGCUUAAGUGCCAUAACGAGCGCAACCCACAUCGGUAGUUGCUAUCAGUUUUCGCUGAGGACUCUACCGAGACUGCCGUCGUAAGGCGCGAGGAAGGUGUGGAUGACGUCAAAUCAGCACGGCCCUUACAUCCGGGGCGGCACACGUGUUACAAUGGCAUGGACAAAGGGCAGCUACCUGGCGACAGGAUGCCAAUCUCUAAACCAUGUCUCAGUUCGGAUCGAAGUCUGCAACCCGACUUCGUGAAGCUGGAUUCGCUAGUAAUCGCGCAUCAGCCAUGGCGCGGUGAAUACGUUCCCGGGCCUUGUACACACCGCCCGUCAAGCCAUGGGAGUUGGGGGUACCUAAAGUCCGUAACCGUAAGGAUCGGCCUAGGGUAAAACCGAUAA